RNAcentral lists this transfer RNA (73 nucleotides) under Desmophyllum pertusum. RNAcentral's name for it is "tRNA-Arg". The record is from RNAcentral. Lineage: Eukaryota; Metazoa; Cnidaria; Anthozoa; Scleractinia; Caryophylliidae.
GAUGCGGUGGACUAAUGGUUAGCGCGUUGGACUCCGGAUCGAGCGGACCGGGUUCGAACCCUGGCCUGGGUCA